RNAcentral lists this transfer RNA (71 nucleotides) under Troglophilus neglectus. RNAcentral describes it as "tRNA-Trp". Lineage: Eukaryota; Metazoa; Arthropoda; Insecta; Orthoptera; Rhaphidophoridae. The record is from RNAcentral.
AAGGUUUUAAGUUAACCCCAAACUCAUAGCCUUCAAAGCUAUAAAUAAGAAUACAAAUUUUUUAAGCCUUA